Molecule: ribosomal RNA, 394 nt
Filed under: uncultured bacterium
Lineage: Bacteria
Description: partial 16S ribosomal RNA
Rfam family: Bacterial small subunit ribosomal RNA
Source: RNAcentral
AUACGGAGGAUGCGAGCGUUAUCCGGAUUUAUUGGGUUUAAAGGGUGCGUAGGCGGGCUGUUAAGCGUGAGGUGAAAGCUCGGGGCUCAACCCCGGAACUGCCUCGCGAACUGGCGGUCUUGAAUGUCCGUGCCGUGGGAGGAAUGUGUGGUGUAGCGGUGAAAUGCAUAGAGAUCACACAGAACACCGAUUGCGAAGGCAUCUCACGAAGGGGUGAUUGACGCUGAGGCACGAAAGCGUGGGGAUCAAACAGGAUUAGAUACCCUGGUAGUCCACGCAGUAAACGAUGAUAACUAACCGCUGGGUCGUAGUGAUUCAGUGGCCAAGCGAAAGCGAUAAGUUAUCCACCUGGGGAGUACGACCGCAAGGUUGAAACUCAAAUGAAUUGACGGGG